This is a long non-coding RNA of Hemicordylus capensis (graceful crag lizard), 886 nucleotides long. RefSeq lists it as uncharacterized. Lineage: Eukaryota; Metazoa; Chordata; Lepidosauria; Squamata; Cordylidae. The record is from RefSeq and is a predicted model, not a curated record. The transcript has 4 exons.
ACAAGAAGACGUGCUUAUGAGAUUUCCGGGGCAUUAAAAUCUUCGGGAAAUACUCUCCUCCAUUCUCUAACAUUGAAUGUGUGUUUGGUGAAGAUGUGAGAGAGGGCUUUCACUGUGGCUGCACUCAGUUAAUGGAAUUCAUUUCUAUAGCAGGUGUAACUCACCCCCUUUCUGAUUGCCUUGUACCACCAUGCUAAUGUUAAUAAUAAUGGCAGACAUUCAGACUUAACACUGUGCUAGGGCAGCGAACAAAGAUGCACCCAUGCAAGAAGGCCUUGUAGCUCAGUAGAUGCUUAGGGUUACUCAGAGAGAGAGAAAAGAACUCAGGAAUGACUGGGCAGAGAGAUCUGAAAUUUGGCCAUUUCCAGGAUGGCAGAACUCUGUGAGGCUGUUCUCACAACUAACAGGGGUGGGCUGGAGGGAAGGCAGGAUCUUACCUGUCUGCUCCUAGAUGACCAGAGCCUCCUUAUGGCUUUGCAGCUUGUACACCCACAAGAAUGUCGCAACGGCAUUCUCUAGAGAGGCAGCCCUUAGGACAGCAACAGUUCUCAUCUUGGCCCUGCUUUCGACCCAACUCUAUGGUUAACAUGGCUUCUGGCAGCCCAGAAACCAUUUUAAAAGCACCAGCAGCACAGACAACCAGGACAAAAGAUGUUGGUCCUAGGAGGAAUAGUUUUCCAUGUUGCGGCAUCAUCAUGCAAUCAUCAUUCCACUUCAUUGGAUUCUAAUGGUCGGUGAGAAAAUGCAUGUCCUGAUGAUGUCACUCACAAGACAGCUAUGGACUGUCCAGCGUGCUGAAUCUGCAAGAUGAGCAUGAGUCAAACAAAGCAUAUCCCAGGAAACAAAACUGUGCAGAAGGAGGGACCUCAGACAUGCACACCAACAG